ACUCAAAUGAAUUGACGGGAGCCCGCACAAGCGGUGGAGCAUGUGGUUUAAUUCGACACUAAGCGAGGAACCUUACCAAGGCUUGACAUCCUGGGAAUCCUGCCGAAAGGCGGGAGUGCCUUCGGGAACCCAGUGACAGGUGCUGCAUGGCUGUCGUCAGCUCGUGUCGUGAGAUGUCGGGUUAAGUCCUUUAACGAGCGCAACCCCUGUGUCGUGUUAGAGUUUCACACGACAGACCGCCUGCUUUAAGCAGGAGGAAGGAAGGGAUGACGUCAAGUCAGCAUGGUCCUCUGACGCCUUGGGCAACACACGUGCUACAAUGGCCGGGACAAAGGGUCGCCAAGUCGCAAGACGUAGCUAAUCCCAUCAAACCCGGUCUCAGUUCGGAUUGGGGGCUGCAACUCGCCCCCAUGAAGUUGGAAUCGCUAGUAACCGCGUAUCAGCUAUGGCGCGGUGAAUACGUUCUCGGGCUUUGUACACACCGCCCGU
Molecule: ribosomal RNA, 489 nt
Filed under: uncultured bacterium
Lineage: Bacteria
Description: partial 16S ribosomal RNA
Rfam family: Bacterial small subunit ribosomal RNA
Source: RNAcentral